RNAcentral lists this ribosomal RNA (1554 nucleotides) under Staphylococcus devriesei. RNAcentral's name for it is "bacterial SSU rRNA". It matches the Rfam family "Bacterial small subunit ribosomal RNA". The record is from RNAcentral. Lineage: Bacteria; Bacillati; Bacillota; Bacilli; Caryophanales; Staphylococcaceae.
UUUAUGGAGAGUUUGAUCCUGGCUCAGGAUGAACGCUGGCGGCGUGCCUAAUACAUGCAAGUCGAGCGAACAGAUAAGGAGCUUGCUCCUUUGACGUUAGCGGCGGACGGGUGAGUAACACGUGGGUAACCUACCUAUAAGACUGGGAUAACUUCGGGAAACCGGAGCUAAUACCGGAUAAUAUUUCGAACCGCAUGGUUCGAUAGUGAAAGAUGGUUUUGCUAUCACUUAUAGAUGGACCCGCGCCGUAUUAGCUAGUUGGUAGGGUAACGGCUUACCAAGGCAACGAUACGUAGCCGACCUGAGAGGGUGAUCGGCCACACUGGAACUGAGACACGGUCCAGACUCCUACGGGAGGCAGCAGUAGGGAAUCUUCCGCAAUGGGCGAAAGCCUGACGGAGCAACGCCGCGUGAGUGAUGAAGGUCUUCGGAUCGUAAAACUCUGUUAUUAGGGAAGAACAUACGUGUAAGUAACUAUGCACGUCUUGACGGUACCUAAUCAGAAAGCCACGGCUAACUACGUGCCAGCAGCCGCGGUAAUACGUAGGUGGCAAGCGUUAUCCGGAAUUAUUGGGCGUAAAGCGCGCGUAGGCGGUUUUUUAAGUCUGAUGUGAAAGCCCACGGCUCAACCGUGGAGGGUCAUUGGAAACUGGAAAACUUGAGUGCAGAAGAGGAAAGUGGAAUUCCAUGUGUAGCGGUGAAAUGCGCAGAGAUAUGGAGGAACACCAGUGGCGAAGGCGACUUUCUGGUCUGUAACUGACGCUGAUGUGCGAAAGCGUGGGGAUCAAACAGGAUUAGAUACCCUGGUAGUCCACGCCGUAAACGAUGAGUGCUAAGUGUUAGGGGGUUUCCGCCCCUUAGUGCUGCAGCUAACGCAUUAAGCACUCCGCCUGGGGAGUACGACCGCAAGGUUGAAACUCAAAGGAAUUGACGGGGACCCGCACAAGCGGUGGAGCAUGUGGUUUAAUUCGAAGCAACGCGAAGAACCUUACCAAAUCUUGACAUCCUUUGACCGCUCUAGAGAUAGAGUUUUCCCCUUCGGGGGACAAAGUGACAGGUGGUGCAUGGUUGUCGUCAGCUCGUGUCGUGAGAUGUUGGGUUAAGUCCCGCAACGAGCGCAACCCUUAAACUUAGUUGCCAGCAUUCAGUUGGGCACUCUAAGUUGACUGCCGGUGACAAACCGGAGGAAGGUGGGGAUGACGUCAAAUCAUCAUGCCCCUUAUGAUUUGGGCUACACACGUGCUACAAUGGACAAUACAAAGGGCAGCGAAACCGCGAGGUCAAGCAAAUCCCAUAAAGUUGUUCUCAGUUCGGAUUGUAGUCUGCAACUCGACUACAUGAAGCUGGAAUCGCUAGUAAUCGUAGAUCAGCAUGCUACGGUGAAUACGUUCCCGGGUCUUGUACACACCGCCCGUCACACCACGAGAGUUUGUAACACCCGAAGCCGGUGGAGUAACCAUUUUGGAGCUAGCCGUCGAAGGUGGGACAAAUGAUUGGGGUGAAGUCGUAACAAGGUAGCCGUAUCGGAAGGUGCGGCUGGAUCACCUCCUUUCU